UGAGGCCUUCGGACUGGCCCAGGGAGGUCGGCAACGACCACCCAGGGCCGGAAAGUUGGUCAAACUCGGUCAUUUAGAGGAAGUAAAAGUCGUAACAAGGUCUCCGUAGGUGAACCUGCGGAGGGAUCAUUA
Molecule: ribosomal RNA, 132 nt
Filed under: Schizothyrium pomi
Lineage: Eukaryota; Fungi; Ascomycota; Dothideomycetes; Mycosphaerellales; Schizothyriaceae
Also listed under: 1 other name
Description: partial 18S ribosomal RNA
Rfam family: Eukaryotic small subunit ribosomal RNA
Source: RNAcentral